AGAGUUUGAUCCUGGCUCAGAUUGAACGCUGGCGGCAGGCUUAACACAUGCAAGUCGAGCGGAGAUGAGGUGCUUGCACCUUAUCUUAGCGGCGGACGGGUGAGUAAUGCUUAGGAAUCUGCCUAUUAGUGGGGGACAACAUUCCGAAAGGAAUGCUAAUACUGCAUACGUCCUACGGGAGAAAGCGGGGGAUCUUCGGACCUUGCGCUAAUAGAUGAGCCUAAGUCGGACUAGCUAGUUGGUGGGGUAAAGGCCUACCAAGGCGACGAUCUGUAGCGGGUCUGAGAGGAUGAUCCGCCACACUGGGACUGAGACACGGCCCAGACUCCUACGGGAGGCAGCAGUGGGGAAUAUUGGACAAUGGGGGGAACCCUGAUCCAGCCAUGCCGCGUGUGUGAAGAAGGCCUUAUGGUUGUAAAGCACUUUAAGCGAGGAGGAGGCUACUGAGACUAAUACUCUUGGAUAGUGGACGUUACUCGCAGAAUAAGCACCGGCUAACUCUGUGCCAGCAGCCGCGGUAAUACAGAGGGUGCGAGCGUUAAUCGGAUUUACUGGGCGUAAAGCGUGCGUAGGCGGCUUUUUAAGUCGGAUGUGAAAUCCCCGAGCUUAACUUGGGAAUUGCAUUCGAUACUGGGAAGCUAGAGUAUGGGA
This 651-nucleotide ribosomal RNA is filed under the name uncultured Gammaproteobacteria bacterium. Its description in RNAcentral is "bacterial SSU rRNA". It matches the Rfam family "Bacterial small subunit ribosomal RNA", at positions 8 to 653 of the family's 1533-position model. The record is from RNAcentral. Lineage: Bacteria; Pseudomonadati; Pseudomonadota; Gammaproteobacteria.